UCGAAAGGACGACAAACGAACGACAAACACUUGACAUGCCCGACAUUGUUUUUUCCAUCGAUUUUCCUUCAAUUUGACGUCACGAUAUUCGUCGACGCAGUUUGACAGUUCUCUUCAGUUGGUCUUGUUUGGACUUGAUCAAAUCAAAGAAACUUUGUACCGAAUCGAACCGGUUGAUUGAUUUCCUGAUUUCGGCCUUCGUGAUGGAGGAGGAGGAGGAAGAGGAGAACGGGUCACAUCGUUGAUCCGGCGGGCCAUGCCGGAAGACGGGAAGGGAAGCACCCGGUCUGCGAUCGAGGAAGCGGAUUGGUUUUUAACUUUCCGCGGGAGGUGGCGGUGCGUGCCAUACCCAAGGACAAUGAAACGGCAAGUAAUGAAUGUUUCCCCCAAUGGAACAUAAGGAGGGAGAAAGACCAUUCCCCUUCCCGUCAAGUCUUGGGGAGGUGUACAAUGUUCCGUGUGAAAAGAAAGGUGGAGGAAGACGGCGUUUCUGAUCCACCGGAGGUUUUUAUACGGUAACCAAAAAUAUUCCAAUCGAAUCCUGCUGACAACCCAGCGUUUCCGUGUUGUCCCACAGAACGGAAGCUGUAACGAUCGCAAAAACACUUGUACCGGAAGUGCGUAAACCGACCUUGUCCGGACUCCGGUGGCCAUCCAUUUGUGGGAUGCCGAGGCGACGAGAUGAGCUGAAAGGCCAACUGGAAGACAACGCCAAAAACCACAUGAAGAUCGCGACACACAACAAGUAAAAUUAAUGAAUGUUUGUGAAAUCGAGUGAAAAAGAUUAAUUUACAGAAAAAAUACAUAUAAACAUAAUUUAAAAAUAAAAAAAA
This is a long non-coding RNA of Culex quinquefasciatus (southern house mosquito), 833 nucleotides long. RefSeq lists it as uncharacterized. Lineage: Eukaryota; Metazoa; Arthropoda; Insecta; Diptera; Culicidae. The record is from RefSeq and is a predicted model, not a curated record. The transcript has 3 exons.